ACGCUCGACACCUACGGAAGGCAGCAGUCGGGAAUAUUGCGCAAUGGAGGAAACUCUGACGCAGUGACGCCGCGUAUAGGAAGAAGGUUUUCGGAUUGUAAACUAUUGUCGUUAGGGAAGAUACAAGACAGUACCUAAGGAGGAAGCACCGGCUAACUAUGCGCCAGCAGCCGCGGUAAUCUGAGCGGGCUGGCAAGGC
This 199-nucleotide ribosomal RNA is filed under the name uncultured bacterium. RNAcentral describes it as "partial 16S ribosomal RNA". It matches the Rfam family "Bacterial small subunit ribosomal RNA", at positions 326 to 539 of the family's 1533-position model. The record is from RNAcentral.